CUAUUAGAUAAAUGUCUGCAGGCUGCAUCAAGAAAAGCAAACUAAGCAUCAGACCCCAUUAAAUAGAACAAGCCUCAAAUAUUUAGAUAUUAAUAUUAAAAUAAGUGAAAGUGAGUGAGAAAUUCAUUGUCUUGGCUCUAGUAAUAAUGACAGAAAAUGCUGGUAACCUGCACGUCAUUGAUUUCUAUGAACCCACAAAAAGAACUGCUUGUGCUAGGAACUGGCACCGCUCACACAGACCCAGUGAAUGAAAACAAAUGUUACCCAUGACUAGUUUCAAUUCACAUGCCAAUCUGCUUUAGUUACCAUUUUAUAAUAAAAUCUUAGAUAUUCACCACAUAAACCGAGAAUCACAAGUACAAUCAAUUAUGAACUACUGACAUCAAGGAAAGGAGUAAAAGAAGAACCCCUAAAAGACUUUCAGGGACCGUUUGCAGCUUAGGGUCUUUAUGCAUGUUAAAAAAUGCACUCCUAUAGACCUGCAGUCUUCUCCCUGUACACUCAAAUGAGGACAAUGUUUUCUGUCUUAGGACUUGAGUGUUAGAACUGGCCACAGGCCCGUUCAAACCAUGAACAGGACCAGGACCUGCUCGGUUCAAUGAUUCCAGUUCAUGAACCGCCCAGAACCGAGUUAACUGACCCCCUCUUCAUUGAACCCAAACCAUCAAUUUGAACCAGUAGUUCCAAACCAAAAACAGCCAGAUUCAAAAUUUGU
This 715-nucleotide unclassified non-coding RNA is filed under the name Hevea brasiliensis (rubber tree). The record is from RNAcentral. Lineage: Eukaryota; Viridiplantae; Streptophyta; Magnoliopsida; Malpighiales; Euphorbiaceae.